CAACAGCUCAAAUUUGAAAUCUGGCCUUCGGGUCCGAGUUGUAAUUUGCAGAGGAUGCUUUUGGCGCGGUGCCUUCCGAGUUCCCUGGAACGGGACGCCUUAGAGGGUGAGAGCCCCGUACGGUUGGACACCAAGCCUCUGUAAAGCUCCUUCGACGAGUCGAGUAGUUUGGGAAUGCUGCUCUAAAUGGGAGGUAAAUUUCUUCUAAAGCUAAAUAUUGGCCAGAGACCGAUAGCGCACAAGUAGAGUGAUCGAAAGAUGAAAAGCACUUUGAAAAGAGGGUUAAACAGCACGUGAAAUUGUUGAAAGGGAAGCGUUUGCGACCAGACCUUCUCCUGGCGGAUCAUCCGGUGGUUUCCACCGGUGCACUUCGCCAGGUCGAGGCCAGCAUCGGUCUUUGUAGGGGGAUAAAAGCUCAGGGAACGUAGCUCCUCCGGGAGUGUUAUAGCCCUCCGCAUAAUACCCUUACGGGGACCGAGGACCGCGCCUUCGGGCAAGGAUGCUGGCGUAAUGGUUGUCAACGACCCGUCUUGAAACACGGACCAAGGAGUCGAACAUUUGUGCGAGUGUUUGGGUGUUAAACCCUCACGCGUAAUGAAAGUGAACGGAGGUGAGAGCCCUUACGGGUGCAUCAUCGACCGAUCCUGAUGUCUUCGGAUGGAUUUGAGUAAGAGCAUAACUGUUCGGACCCGAAAGAUGGUGAACUAUGCGUGGAUAGGGUGAAGCCAGAGGAAACUCUGGUGGAGGCUCGCAGCGGUUCUGACGUGCAAAUCGAUCGUCA
This 781-nucleotide ribosomal RNA is filed under the name Nemania changningensis. RNAcentral's name for it is "Nemania sp. YP-2021g partial large subunit ribosomal RNA". It matches the Rfam family "Eukaryotic large subunit ribosomal RNA", at positions 102 to 907 of the family's 3401-position model. The record is from RNAcentral. Lineage: Eukaryota; Fungi; Ascomycota; Sordariomycetes; Xylariales; Xylariaceae.